This 986-nucleotide ribosomal RNA is filed under the name Stenotrophomonas sp. HPC410. RNAcentral describes it as "bacterial SSU rRNA". It matches the Rfam family "Bacterial small subunit ribosomal RNA", at positions 26 to 1030 of the family's 1533-position model. Lineage: Bacteria; Pseudomonadati; Pseudomonadota; Gammaproteobacteria; Lysobacterales; Lysobacteraceae. The record is from RNAcentral.
CGAUGAACGCUGGCGGUAGGCCUACACAUGCAAGUCGCACGGCGGCACCGUAAAAGCUUGCUCUUACGGGUGGCGAGUGGCGGACGGGUGAGGAAUGCAUCGGAAUCUACUCUGUCGUGGGGGAUAACGUAGGGAAACUUACGCUAAUACCGCAUACGACCUACGGGUGAAAGCAGGGGAUCUUCGGACCUUGCGCGAUUGAAUGAGCCGAUGCCCGAUUAGCUAGUUGGCGGGGUAAGAGCCCACCAAGGCGACGAUCGGUAGCUGGUCUGAGAGGAUGAUCAGCCACACUGGAACUGAGACACGGUCCAGACUCCUACGGGAGGCAGCAGUGGGGAAUAUUGGACAAUGGGCGCAAGCCUGAUCCAGCCAUACCGCGUGGGUGAAGAAGGCCUUCGGGUUGUAAAGCCCUUUUGUUGGGAAAGAAAAGCAGCCGGUUAAUACCCGGUUGUUCUGACGGUACCCAAAGAAUAAGCACCGGCUAACUUCGUGCCAGCAGCCGCGGUAAUACGAAGGGUGCAAGCGUUACUCGGAAUUACUGGGCGUAAAGCGUGCGUAGGUGGUUGUUUAAGUCUGUCGUGAAAGCCCUGGGCUCAACCUGGGAAUGGCGAUGGAAACUGGGCGACUAGAGUGUGGCAGAGGGUAGUGGAAUUCCUGGUGUAGCAGUGAAAUGCGUAGAGAUCAGGAGGAACAUCCGUGGCGAAAGCGACUGCCUGGCCACACUGACACUGAGGCACGAAAGCGUGGGGAAGCAAACAGGAUUAAAUACCCUGGUAGUCCACGCCCUAAACGAUGCGAACUGGAUGUUGGGUGCAGUUGGCACGCAGUAUCGAAGCUAACCGUUAAGUUCGCCGCCUGGGGAGUCGUCGCAGAUGAAAAUCAAGGAUUGACGGGGCCGCCAAGCGGGGAGUAUGGGUUAUUCAAGCACCCGAAACUUACUGCCUUGCCUGCGGGAACUUCGAAUGAUGUGUCUCGGACCUGACACG